Molecule: small nuclear RNA, 105 nt
Organism: Ochotona princeps (American pika)
Lineage: Eukaryota; Metazoa; Chordata; Mammalia; Lagomorpha; Ochotonidae
Source: Ensembl
GUGCUCACUUCGGCAGCACAUACACUAAAAUUGGAAUGAUACAGAGAAGAUUAGCAUGGCCCCUGUGCAAGGAUGAAUGGGACCCUGGACAAAUAGCAGGUCAUU